This 96-nucleotide microRNA precursor is filed under the name Paramuricea clavata. The record is from RNAcentral. Lineage: Eukaryota; Metazoa; Cnidaria; Anthozoa; Malacalcyonacea; Plexauridae.
AGGUGUAUGUACAAUAUGUAUCAGAGAGAUGUCUGCUACUCUGCUAUUAGAGCAGAGUAGCAGACAUCUCUCUGAUACAUAUUGUACAUACACCUC